GGGUCAGUGGGUUGGUCGUGCCACCGGUACGUACUGGUCUCACUGAUUCCUCCUUCCUGAAGAACCGUAAUGCCAUUAAUUUGGUGUUGCGGGGAAACAGGACUGUUACUUUGAAAAAAUUAGGGUGUUUAAAGCAAGCUAACGCUUGAAUACAUUAGCAUGGAAUAAUGAAAUAGGACGAUCGAUCCUAUUUUGUUGGUUUCUAGGAUUGACGUA
RNAcentral lists this ribosomal RNA (216 nucleotides) under Glomeromycotina sp. Its description in RNAcentral is "partial small subunit ribosomal RNA". The stretch from base 40 to 216 matches the Rfam family "Eukaryotic small subunit ribosomal RNA", at positions 686 to 864 of the family's 1831-position model. The record is from RNAcentral. Lineage: Eukaryota; Fungi; Glomeromycota.